AUCGCUUCUCGGCCUUUUGGCUAAGAUCAAGUGGAGUUCUAAUAUUUCAUUACUUGUUUUUAGUCAAGUUGAUCUAUCUAUUUGUGACAGUGGGGUGUUGAGGUCCCCCACUUCAAUUGUAUUAGUGCAUAUAUGACUUUUCAUGUCCAUUAGUAUUUGUUU
Heterocephalus glaber (naked mole-rat) is the source of this 162-nucleotide small nuclear RNA. Its record names the gene U2. It matches the Rfam family "U2 spliceosomal RNA". From Rfam's summary of the family: U2 is a small nuclear RNA (snRNA) component of the spliceosome (involved in pre-mRNA splicing). Complementary binding between U2 snRNA (in an area lying towards the 5' end but 3' to hairpin I) and the branchpoint sequence (BPS) of the intron results the bulging out of an unpaired adenosine, on the BPS, which initiates a nucleophilic attack at the intronic 5' splice site, thus starting the first of two transesterification reactions that mediate splicing. The record is from Ensembl. Lineage: Eukaryota; Metazoa; Chordata; Mammalia; Rodentia; Bathyergidae.